AUAUAUUAUGUUUUGUAAUAUUUAUUUAUGUUUUGUAAUAUUUUUAAUGAGGGUUACAUUUGUAUUGAUUAUUAGGGUUGGUUACAUGGUUACUUGUGUGUGAGAGAUAGAGAGAGAGAGUAUAAGGUUGGUAAAUGUGGUUAAAAGUGUAAAAAAAAAAAAAAAAAAAAAAAAAAAAUUGGUUACAACAGGUUGGGUUUCCUUUUUUUUUGGUGUGUCAUAUUUUUCAUGGUUACGGUUACAUUGGAUAUGGAUAUGGUGAUAAUGAGGAUAUCAUGAUGGAAUGGUGGUUACUUUAACACGGAUGAAAAAGUACAUAAUAUAUAGUAGUGUAGUAACAUAAAAACAGAAAGUUGUUUCCAAAUGUGGAAAAUGGACAAAAUUAUCACGAGGUUAAUUUAUUUUUAAAAAUAGUAUAAAGUUUGAUGGAUGGAUUGAGAGUAACAAUAUGUAUUUUGUGAGGAAAUAACGGGUGGAAAAGGGAUCCAAUGUUGUUAUGUUUUUACUUUUGAAAUCUGUAACUGUAAUGGUUUUUCUUUAUUAUUUAUUUAUUGUUGUUUUUAUUUGUAUUCUUAAUGAACCCACCUUUUAUUUAUUAUUUUUAUUUUUAUUUUUAUUUUUUUCAAACAACAAAAGAAACAUCGAAAAUGGCUGGUAUAGAACCCCAAAAUAUCACCAAACAUGACGUAGAAGAAUGUUCAAUUUCUUGACCAAAUAUGUGGAAAAUUUUGGUGCGGUUACAUAUGCACAAUAUCCAACAUUUUCAAAAGAAACAAAAAAAAAUUUUUUUCAUCAAACCACAUUUAGGUCAGGUAUGCGUGGCUGGAUCUGGCAAAAAGUAACGAUGUUACUUGUCUAAGACUGAUGAAGCGGGUGUAAAGAUGAGUCUGGUGGUGAAAUGGAGAAGGCUGGAAUGCAAAAACAGUCAUUCGAAAGGAAAAUUUUCAUCUUUACGAAAUUCGAUAGGUCCUUUAUCACGUGUUGAACACAUCAUGAGGCUCAAGUGUUUGGUUUUGUUCUGUGAAUUUACAAGAAUGAAAAAGAUCGACAGGCAAAUGGGUCAAAAGUUGAAAAGUGAAAGAGGGAGUAGAGGUAGUUGUAUGGAGGAAGAAAAUAGAUAAUUUAGAGGAAAUAGAUGAGAUGCAUUUCUUUUACAAUUUUGAGUAAUAAACAUCCAUGUAGCUGAAGCCAGAGUGCAAAAAAAAUGCAUUUAGAGUGUGUUUUCCUUGGGGAAGGGUGGGGCAUGUUAUGGGAAGGUGGAGAGAAAAAAUGAAAAAAACAAGGUAAUUUGUAGGAUUUUUACAAAAUAAAUAAAUACAUUUUAUAUAAUUUAACCAAAAGUAAUGUUUUAUAAUGAAAAUGAGCUUGGUUGACCAACUUUGUAAUUUUCGAUUUUCAUGACAUUCAAGUAUUUACAAAAUAACAUAAACAUAAUACACUACACAUUCCCAACAUUUUUCAAAAACAAAAUGGAAAAAACAAAAAAAGUGCAAACAAAUAAAAGAAAAAAUAAGAAAACAAAAAAACAACUACAAAGGUAUUGAAAAUCGUGCGAAAUAUGGGAUGGAACAUAAAAAUGCAAAUUUUUCGAUACAAAACAUGUGAGGAAAGCAUGAAAAACAAAAGAAAAUG
This 1632-nucleotide long non-coding RNA is filed under the name Schizosaccharomyces pombe (fission yeast). The record is from RNAcentral. Lineage: Eukaryota; Fungi; Ascomycota; Schizosaccharomycetes; Schizosaccharomycetales; Schizosaccharomycetaceae.